RNAcentral lists this long non-coding RNA (1541 nucleotides) under Calidris pugnax (ruff). RNAcentral's name for it is "lncRNA (ENSCPUG00000000611.1)". Lineage: Eukaryota; Metazoa; Chordata; Aves; Charadriiformes; Scolopacidae. The record is from RNAcentral.
AACAAAACCUAGAAGUGAGGACAGUGACAGUUCACUGUCCUCUGCUUACUGCCCUGAUUUUGCUGUAUUGUCUUCUUGUUUUAAUGUUUUAUUUGCGAGAUAAAAGGAGAUCUUGGAAUGAAGGCUUGUUACAGGGAAGACAGUGAAAGGAAGGUAAAAGGAAAGUCAAAGGGGAGGGAGCGGGGCUGGGGGAGAGAACUCCCCUGGAUUGUGGAAGGUUUGGGAAGAAACAACCCAUCAGACCAGUCCCCUCCACCAUUGGUCCAAGAAGACGGUUAGUUCUGCUGCUGGUGUGUUAGUCCUGUAUGGGCACAAGUAGUCACGAGGCACUGAGGAGCCUCUCUGAUAAAUAGCUGCUCUAACAGAUGAUGAUAUUGACACUAGGAGUCUGUGUUUUCAAAAGGAAACAUUAUAUUACACUUAUUUAGCUGACAUAAUCCGAGCCCUGUUCAGUGCUCGCAGAGGACCUGUGAUGCUGAAAUAGCUUGUUUCCACAAAGCACUUACCAACACUUGCAUAGGGAGAGCUUGGCUCUAAAUCCUCAGCACUGGCUUUUUGUUUAUUCGUUUUUUUAACUCCGGGCAGAGCCAAGUCUCUGCUGCAACCGACACAGUUUCACUUUGCAAAUCAAUGAGACAGUGCUACAAGGGCAGAAGAGUCUCGCCCGUGAAACUUCAUACUGUUCAGAGCUGCCAAACUGACAGCCCUGACUGACUGCUGUCUUCAUGGAACUAAUCCACGCCAAAUGUCUGAACUCCUCUGUGGCUCUCACCACCCUCCCAGGCUCCUCCUUAGUGAGACCUUUGGGGAUUGUUCAGGCUCCAACCAGCAGAACAGGAGCUUUAAAGAGCAAGACAUUCCGAAGUAGGAAUGCCAAAAUCUGCUAUGAGGCAAAAGCUUAGAGGUGGCUGGAAAUGAGCUGUCGUUCUGCAGCGUGAUCCACAGCAGAGCUGGAACCAGGUAAAGCCACAUGUGUCUAAAUGCAGCCCUUGCAUGCAAAAUGAUAGAUCAAGUUUUUUAGCCACUGAUUGUGUCCAUCUCACCCGUUCAGGUGAUCAGGACUAGAUGGCCUCUACUGCUUCAAUUAUGUUGGCCGUUAAUGACAAUACUUCUCACAAGCAAGCUGGGCUGCUGUGCCUGAUACUCCUAUAGCUCUCACCACGUGUGGCUGCUGCCACUUCAGCUGUGGCCUCCAGGUAAGAAUUUAGCAUUUUGCACAGCUCUGGACUCCUGGAAAUGCCUGAAUACAGAGAGACCAGGAGCGAGCUGCCUCUCCGGCUGAUUUGCCUCUCCAGGCAAAUUUGGUGAAGAGAGCUCAGCCCUGACUCAGGGUAUUCCUCAGGGCUAAAAGAACAAAUCUAAAUGUACUUACAGCAUGCUUUUCCACUCUCGAAAAACUGGUUCCACCUGUGGGUGCUGAGCCUGUAACAGCCUCCAGACAAUCUGUCCCCCUUGGCUGGAAGUCAGGGACCUUAAGAGAGCAGAGAGGGGAAAUCUGCAGACUUAGGAAGAGAGAUCCGUGUUCUUCCCAAGGACCUCGG